This 427-nucleotide ribosomal RNA is filed under the name uncultured eukaryote. RNAcentral's name for it is "SSU rRNA". It matches the Rfam family "Eukaryotic small subunit ribosomal RNA", at positions 699 to 1129 of the family's 1831-position model. The record is from RNAcentral.
UCCUUCUGUUAACUCUCGACCUCGUUCGUUCGUGGCGUUAGGGCUCAGAUAUUUUACCUUGAGAAAAUUAGAGUGUUUCACGGCAGGCUUUCGCCGGAAUACAUUAGACAUGGAAUAAUGGAAAAGGACUUCAACCUCUUCUGUUGGUCUGAGAGGAUGUAGUAAUGAUUAAUAGGGAUAGUUGGGGGCAUUAGUACUUAACUGUCAGAGGUGAAAUUCUCCGAUUUGUUAAAGACUAACUUAUGCGAAAGCAUUUGCCAAGGAUGUUUUCAUUAAUCAAGAACGAAAGUUAGGGGAUCAAAAGACGAUCAGAUACCGUCCCUAGUCUUAACCAUAAACUAUGCCGACUCGGGAUCGGGGGCACGCAAUAUCGGCCUUCGGCACCGUAUGAGAAAUCAAAGUCUUUGGGUUCUGGGGGGAGUAUGGU